RNAcentral lists this ribosomal RNA (427 nucleotides) under uncultured bacterium. Its description in RNAcentral is "partial 16S ribosomal RNA". It matches the Rfam family "Bacterial small subunit ribosomal RNA", at positions 354 to 796 of the family's 1533-position model. The record is from RNAcentral.
GUGAGGAAUUUUCCGCAAUGGGCGAAAGCCUGACGGAGCAAUGCCGCGUGAAGGAUGAAGGCCUAUGGGUUGUAAACUUCUUUUCUUAGAGAAGAAUAUUGACGGUAUCUGAGGAAUAAGCCCCGGCUAACUCCGUGCCAGCAGCCGCGGUAAGACGGAGGGGGCAAGCGUUGUUCGGAAUUAUUGGGCGUAAAGGGCUCGUAGGCGGAUCUGUAAGUCUGGCGUGAAAUCUCCACCGCUUAACGGGGAGCUGCCGCUGGAUACUGCAGAUCUGGAGUUCGGUAGAGGAUCGUGGAAUUUCGGGUGUAGCGGUGGAAUGCGUAGAUAUCCGAAAGAACACCAGUGGCGAAGGCGACGAUCUGGGCCUGAACUGACGCUGAGGAGCGAAAGCUAGGGGAGCAAACGGGAUUAGAUACCCUUGUAGUCC